Molecule: transfer RNA, 75 nt
Filed under: Acidobacteriota bacterium
Lineage: Bacteria; Pseudomonadati; Acidobacteriota
Description: Acidobacteria bacterium (bioreactor metagenome) tRNA-Gln
Rfam family: tRNA
About the family: Transfer RNA (tRNA) molecules are approximately 80 nucleotides in length.
Source: RNAcentral
UGGGAGAUCGUCCAAUUGGCAGGAUGACAGAUGCUGAUUCUGUUGAUCGUGGUUCGAAUCCACGUCUCCCAGCCA